This 440-nucleotide ribosomal RNA is filed under the name uncultured bacterium. RNAcentral's name for it is "bacterial SSU rRNA". It matches the Rfam family "Bacterial small subunit ribosomal RNA", at positions 338 to 795 of the family's 1533-position model. The record is from RNAcentral.
CCUACGGGGGGCUGCAGUGGGGAAUAUUGCACAAUGGGGGAAACCCUGAUGCAGCAACGCCGCGUGAGCGUUGAAUGCCUUCGGGUCGUAAAGCUCUGUCCUAAGGGAAGAAUACUGACGGUACCUUAGGAGGAAGCCCCGGCUAACUACGUGCCAGCAGCCGCGGUAAUACGUAGGGGGCUGGCGUUAUCCGGAAUCACUGGGCGUAAAGGGUGCGUAGGCCGCCCUUCACAUCAGACGUGAAAGGCUACGGCUCAACCGUAGUAAGCCUUUGAAACUGUAGGUCGUGAGUGCAGGAGAGGGGAGUGGAAUUCCCAGUGUAGCGGUAAAAUGCGUAGAUAUUGGGACGAACACAAGUUGCGAAGGCGGCUCUCUGGACUGUAACUGACGCUGAGGCACGAAAGCGUGGGGAGCGAACAGGAUUAGAUACCCCGGUAGUC